RNAcentral lists this ribosomal RNA (692 nucleotides) under uncultured bacterium. RNAcentral's name for it is "bacterial SSU rRNA". It matches the Rfam family "Bacterial small subunit ribosomal RNA", at positions 28 to 755 of the family's 1533-position model. The record is from RNAcentral.
AACGAACGCUGGCGGCAUGCCUAACACAUGCAAGUCGAACGGGAUCCACCUUUCGGGGUGGUGAGAGUGGCGGACGGGUGAGUAACACGUGGGAACCUGCCUUUUGGUUCGGGAUAACCGCGGGAAACUGCGGCUAAUACCGGAUGUACCCGCGAGGGGAAAGAUUUAUCGCCAGAAGAGGGGCCCGCGUCCGAUUAGGUAGUUGGUAGGGUAAAGGCCUACCAAGCCGACGAUCGGUAGCUGGUCUGAGAGGAUGAUCAGCCACACUGGGACUGAGAUACGGCCCAGACUCCUACGGGAGGCAGCAGUGGGGAAUAUUGGACAAUGGGGGCAACCCUGAUCCAGCAAUGCCGCGUGAGUGAUGAAGGUCUUAGGGUUGUAAAGCUCUUUUGCCAGGGAAGAUGAUGACGGUACCUGGAGAAUAAGCCCCGGCUAANUUCGUGCCAGCAGCCGCGGUAAUACGAAGGGGGCUAGCGUUGUUCGGAAUUACUGGGCGUAAAGGGCGCGUAGGCGGCCAUUUAAGUUAGGUGUGAAAGUCCUGGGCUCAACCUGGGACUGCACUUAAUACUGGGUGGCUUGAAUUCGGGAGAGGAUAGCGGAAUUCCCCAGUGUAGAGGUGAAAUUCGUAGAUAUUGGGAAGAACACCGGUGGCGAAGGCGGCUAUCUGGGACCGACAUUGACGCUGAGGCGCG